Molecule: unclassified non-coding RNA, 639 nt
Filed under: Hevea brasiliensis (rubber tree)
Lineage: Eukaryota; Viridiplantae; Streptophyta; Magnoliopsida; Malpighiales; Euphorbiaceae
Source: RNAcentral
AAGAAUUUGAUACAUUCCCUACUUCUCGGCAAACAGACGUCAUAAGAAUGAGGUAUGAUCGACUGAGGAGUGUGGCUGGGAGGGUGCAAACUGUAGUUGGAGAUUUGGCAACACAAGGUGAAAGGGCUCUUUCCAUACUAAGCUGGCGGGAUCCAAGGGCUACUGCUAUAUUUAUAAUCCUUGCAUUGAUCUGGGCUGUGUUUCUAUAUGUUACUCCAUUCCAAGUAGUUGCAGUGCUCAUAGGACUUUACUGGUUGCGCCAUCCACGAUUCAGGAGCAAGCUGCCAUCAGUACCUGUCAACUUCUUCAAGAGAUUACCAUCGAAGUCCGAUAUGCUUUUGUAAGAUGCUGGUAAAUUUUCACCUUAUCUAUUGUAUUCAAAUUGUAAAAUAGAGAGAUGGAUUCAGUGAAUAAGUGGGGGAUAAAAGGCUGCUACACAAGACACAAAUGGAAGAGCAGUUUUCCUUGUUUCCCCCCACACCCCACAAUCCAUAAUGCAUUCCUCAAGCUCCUGUAUUAGAUAACAAGUGUUUUUUUUCUUGAUUGAUAUUGUAAUCAAUCUAUGAGGUUGUAGAAUAUAGUUGUUUGUAUCUGUUUAGAUGUAAAAAAGGAAUUGCAAAUUCAAAGCUGAUAUGAAUA